AUUCGUUCACUCUUACUAAAGAGCGCAGUUCGAGCUAUACCAUGGAACGGGGGAUAGC
Molecule: non-coding RNA, 58 nt
Submitted as: unclassified sequences
Source: Rfam